GGGAGCUUGCCGAAGGGUUUUUCGGAAGCUCGCCGGAAGGUUCGUUGGAAGUUCGCGGAGCUCACCGAGAAAGAUCGGAGUUUGCCGAAGAAGCUCGUUGGAACUCGUCAAGAUCAAAUCAUGAAGUCUAGGAGCUUGUCGGGAGUCCGUAGAAUGGUUUCCGAGAGUUUAUCGGAAAACCAUCGGAAGUUCGUCGGAAGCUCGCCGGAAGAAGUCUUGACUUAUGGACUUUGUAAUAGCUUAGAAAAUGUCUUUAAAUUCGUAGUUAGCACGUUACUUAGGGUUAGGAUUAGGUGUUAAUCCUAUAAACCAAGUAGGGGCCAAUUGGGCUCUAGUUCGGACUGGUUUGGGCCAAUUUUGGAGCCCAACCAGUGAGUUGAAAAAGUGUAGGCGGUGGCACCGCCUAGCACCCGAGAGCCAGGCGGUGGCACCGCCCAGCACCCGAGAGCUAGGCGGUGGCAUCGCUUGGCUGGGCGGUGGUACCGCCAGCAUCGGGAACCAAAGAGAAUUCAAAUUUUGGAGCCCAAAUUUGAAACCUCUUGAGGCCUAUAAAUACCCCUCAAAUCUCAGCUGAGAUGACAACCUUUUGAAAAGCAAUAGUUUGAGUUAAGAGCCUUAGAAUAGUCUUUGCAAGCCUUGUUUUUCAUAUUGCUUAAGUGUUCACCUCCUCCCAUCUUGUUGAAAAGAAUUGUAAGAGUGUGAUCCACUUGUAAAGGUUGUAAGAGGGGUAUUAGUCCUUCCCCUACAAAAAAUUUACUAGUGGAAGUUGGAAGCCUCUUCGAAGAAGGCUUCGCAAGUGGAUGUAGGUCAUUUUGACCGAUAUAUGGCACACACUAGACAAUUAAGGUAGGAGGAAUUGACGUUGCGCCGGAGGAGAUCACGUUAGGAUAUUGGAUGGCAGAAGGCUUCGGACGUCGGGCAUCGGGCCAAGAACGAAAUUGCGCCAAGGAUAUCGGCGUUGCGGAGGUCAACCGCUGAUUGGGCAAUAAGCCGCAAGAGAGGAUGAUGCGCCAAAGAAUCGAACGAAGCACCAACCAAUGACGUGCCAGGCAACAUAAUGUCAAUUCGCUUUAUAAUAAUUGUCUAGAUCAGAGUAGAGUUUUUGCUUGUGUGUGCAGGAUUAACUACGAUAACGACGAAGACAUAAAGCAAAAUAAAGUAUCGAAGUCAAGCACGAAGGAUUCAUUGCGAGUUCGAGAGUUCGACGGAAGUCCGAAGGUUCGUCGGGAAUGCUGCCGGAACUAGCCGAGAAUGAGUAGGGAGCUUGCCGAAGGGUUUUUCGGAAGCUCGCCGGAAGGUUCGUUGGAAGUUCGCGGAGCUCACCGAGAAAGAUCGGAGCUUACCAAAGAAGCUCGUUGGAACUCGCCAAGAUCAAAUCGUGAAGUCUAGGAGCUUGGCGGGAGUCCGCAGAAUGGUUUCCGAGAGUUUAUCGGAAGACCGUCGGAAGUUCGCCGGAAGCUCGCCGAAAGAAGUCUUGACUUACGGACUUUGUAAUAGCUUAGAAAAUGUCUUUAAAUUCGU
RNAcentral lists this long non-coding RNA (1521 nucleotides) under Musa acuminata (dwarf banana). RNAcentral's name for it is "long non-coding RNA (MACU_LNC010998)". Lineage: Eukaryota; Viridiplantae; Streptophyta; Magnoliopsida; Zingiberales; Musaceae. The record is from RNAcentral.